CUAUUACUAGCACCACCACUGACAAGAUACACUCGCUAUUACUAGCACCACCACUGGCAAGAUACACUCGCUAUUACUAGCACCACCACUGGCAAGGUACACUCGUUAUUACUAGCACCACCACUGGCAAGAUACACUCGCUAUUACUAGCACCACCACUGACAAGAUACACUCGCUAUUACUAGCACCACCACUGACAAGAUACACUCGCUAUUACUAGCACCACCACUGACAAGAUACACUCGCUAUUACUAGCACCACCACUGACAAGAUACACUCGCUAUUACUAGCACCACCACUGGCAAGAUACACUCGCUAUUACUAUCUCCACCACUGACAAGAUACACUCGCUAUUACUAUCUCCACCACUGGCAAGAUACACUCGCUAGUACUACCACCACCACUGGCAAUGUAUUCUCGCUAUCUCAACCACUGUUAGUGUAUAAUGAUAAUAAUCACGUGUAUCAUAAAUAUCAUUGAACCAUAGUGGCUUGAUUCAUCUUAGGUUGAUCACACACUUGACCGUUACUUAAC
Leptidea sinapis is the source of this 534-nucleotide long non-coding RNA. RefSeq lists it as uncharacterized. The record is from RefSeq and is a predicted model, not a curated record. The transcript has 3 exons. NCBI's taxonomy places the organism in Eukaryota, Metazoa, Arthropoda, Insecta, Lepidoptera, Pieridae.